Molecule: small nucleolar RNA, 273 nt
Rfam family: Fungal small nucleolar RNA U3
About the family: Small nucleolar RNAs (snoRNAs) are involved in the processing and modification of rRNA in the nucleolus. There are two main classes of snoRNAs: the box C/D class, and the box H/ACA class.
Source: Rfam
AACAACCGCCCGCAGGAGAAUCAUUUCUAUAGUAUUCGACCUUCUCGUGGUUCAUUAAAUGAGCCGCAGAUCCCACCCUGGUUGAUGAGUGUAUAUCCUCGGCUCCCUAGAGUGAGUGUUUUUGGUCCUCUCGAACUGUCCGAAAGGAUGGCGGUGGUCUUCGUCUUCGGGCGGGGCUACUGUAUAGAGAGUGGUGUUUGAUGAUCUCGACCCUGUUCACGGUCUGCCUUCGGGCGCGAGAGCAGGGUGGGUGCCGAUGGACGUCUGACAGGU